CCUACGGGUGGCAGCAGUGAGGAAUAUUGGUCAAUGGGCGCGAGCCUGAACCAGCCAAGUAGCGUGAAGGAUGACUGCCCUACGGGUUGUAAACUUCUUUUAUAAAGGAAUAAAGUGAGGCACGUUUGCCUCUUUGUAUGUACUUUCUGACUAAGGAUCGGCAACCUCCGUGCCCGCAGCCGCGGUAGUACUGAGGAUCCGAGUGUUAUCAGGAUUUCUUGGGUUGAAGGGGUGCGUAGAGGGGUUGUUAAGUUAGUGGUGAAAGUUUGCGGCUCACCCGUAAAAUUGCAAUUGAUACUGGCAGCCUUGAGUACAGUUGGGGUAGGCGGAAUUCGUGGUGUAGCGGUGAAAUGCUUAGAUAUCACGAAGAACUCCGAUUGCGAAGGCAGCCUACUAAACUGCCACUGACAUUGAGGCUCGAAAGUGUGGGUAUCAAACAGGAUUAGAUACCCGUGUAGUC
RNAcentral lists this ribosomal RNA (460 nucleotides) under uncultured bacterium. Its description in RNAcentral is "partial 16S ribosomal RNA". It matches the Rfam family "Bacterial small subunit ribosomal RNA", at positions 338 to 795 of the family's 1533-position model. The record is from RNAcentral.